Molecule: long non-coding RNA, 752 nt
Filed under: Chloebia gouldiae (Gouldian finch)
Lineage: Eukaryota; Metazoa; Chordata; Aves; Passeriformes; Passeridae
Description: Erythrura gouldiae (Gouldian finch) lncRNA (ENSEGOG00005002986.1)
Source: RNAcentral
GGUAGAACAAGAGUAGAUAUUGGGAAGCAUUACUGUGCAGAGAGUGAGUCUCUGCUGAAAUUGAAACAGCUUGUCAUUUUAAUAAUAUACUCACUGAAAGAAGUAAAAGGAGGGAAAAUGAAAUAUGCUGGUGUGUCAGGUCAGAGGUUCUCCUGAGAGCCAGGGAGGGUGUUCCUCACCCAAGCUGGCAGUCUGGCUGAUACAAGGUUUUUUUAUCUCUGUCUCUUGAUGGGGCUGGAAUAGAUGCUGUUGCAGAUCAUAGUCAAAUGUUUUGAGAAAAUACUUCUAAGAAAAAGUGCAACUGAGCUAGCAUUUUUGUCUAUAUUCUCAAAAUUUGUGGACCAUAUUCAGCAGUUUGUAUGGUGGAAUGGACAUGCAGCCUUUGGCAUGGCAAAGGCAAGAACAGAGGAGGUCACUGUACUUGUACAGGUUUUCUGGAUGUCACAGCUUGCAGUGGAGCCUGGCCAGAGACUUCUACAGCUCCAGCUGAUCUCAGGAUCUCAGUUGUGUGAUGCCCAUGCAGUGCAAAGAUCAACAUGGCACCUGAGAAGCAGCAAUCUUGUGGUCCAGGUGUCCAUUCAGCAAAGGACUAAGUGCCAGAUUGGAGGACUCGGGAUGGCAAAGCAGACAGCCACACAAAAUCUAAACAUCCACCAUGAAAAAUGUGAAGCACCAGAAAAUGUUUCAUUCUGCAUCAAAAUGGAAUAACGUUUUUAUUUGCAAAUUGCGAAUGCUGAGCAAGCUAAUAAACC